This 404-nucleotide ribosomal RNA is filed under the name Verrucomicrobiota bacterium. Its description in RNAcentral is "Verrucomicrobia bacterium partial 16S ribosomal RNA". It matches the Rfam family "Bacterial small subunit ribosomal RNA", at positions 355 to 776 of the family's 1533-position model. The record is from RNAcentral. Lineage: Bacteria; Pseudomonadati; Verrucomicrobiota.
UGGGGAAUAUUGCACAAUGGAGGGAACUCUGAUGCAGCGACGCCGCGUGAACGAAGAAGGCUUUCGAGUCGUAAAGUUCUUUUAUAUGGGAAGAUAAUGACGGUACCAUAAGAAGAAGCCCCGGCUAACUUCGUGCCAGCAGCCGCGGUAAUACGAAGGGGGCUAGCGUUGUUCGGAUUUACUGGGUGUAAAGCGCACGUAGGCGGACUUUUAAGUCAGGGGUGAAAUCCCGGGGCUCAACCCCGGAACUGCCUUUGAUACUGGAAGUCUUGAGUAUGGUAGAGGUGAGUGGAAUUCCGAGUGUAGAGGUGAAAUUCGUAGAUAUUCGGAGGAACACCAGUGGCGAAGGCGGCUCACUGGACCAUUACUGACGCUGAGGUGCGAAAGCGUGGGGAGCAAACAGG